GUUUAAUGAGCUGGCUUUACAAAGAAAUCGGUCUGACUGUUAAAGUUAAAAAACAAGCAUUCGAGAACUAAUUGACUUUUUACAUAAUUUAUCGUUGUUUGGUCGCAUAUCAAAUUAAAACAAUUCUAAUUAUAUAUAUAGAUGAGAAACCGUCCAGCGAAAUGAUCCAUUACACUUACUGGCAAAUGAAUAACAACCCGUCUCAGACAGCGAAUGCGUAAUGCAGAGAAAAAUUUGUAUUUAAAAUAUAAAACACAAUCCACCAGUCUUAUAUUUACUUACGUUAAUUCAAAACACAGAAAUAUUUGCGUUUCGAAUUAACGAGAGUACUUGCCAGUAUGGAAUCCGGUCAUAUAGUAUGACAUCAACAUUGCAGUUAACGCUUCUCUUUCGUUUUUCGGUAAGUUAUCUAAGAAAUCUGGUGGCGGCGGCGGAGGCGGA
Long non-coding RNA from Adelges cooleyi (spruce gall adelgid), 441 nucleotides. RefSeq lists it as uncharacterized. The record is from RefSeq and is a predicted model, not a curated record. NCBI's taxonomy places the organism in Eukaryota, Metazoa, Arthropoda, Insecta, Hemiptera, Adelgidae. The transcript is spliced from 3 exons.